Small nuclear RNA from Gorilla gorilla gorilla (western lowland gorilla), 105 nucleotides. Lineage: Eukaryota; Metazoa; Chordata; Mammalia; Primates; Hominidae. The record is from Ensembl.
GUGCUCGCUUCAGCAGCACAUAAUACUAAAAUUGGAACGAUGCACAGAUUAGCAUGGCCUCUGUGCAAGGAUGAUAAGCAAAUUUGUGAAUCAUUCCAUAUUUCA